RNAcentral lists this unclassified non-coding RNA (172 nucleotides) under uncultured fungus. Its description in RNAcentral is "sequence contains ITS1". Lineage: Eukaryota; Fungi. The record is from RNAcentral.
CCGAGUAACAGGGUCUUCAAGGCCCGUGCUCCCACCCUUUGUGUACCUACCUUGUUGCUUUGGCGGGCCUGCGGUCCAACGACCGCCGCCGGCUCCGGCUGACGAGCGCCCGCCAGAGGAAUCCGGAACUCUAUCUACCGGUGCCGUCUGAGUAAAUCGGUUUAAUCGUUUA